GAGCGCAGUGAUACUGAACGACUAAAACAUGAGGUUGUCGCUAUGUCAAAGAAAUGGAAUAACAUUUAAGCUUAAAAAGAAAUCUUGAAGAUUUUCUUUCUGGGUGGAGCUCUUUGGCAGGUAUCUUUCCCCCCACUUGGGAAUCGCUGACAGGGCGACCAGCUCUAGAAAAUGAAAUCUCAUGAGGGAGAACUGGAGAGGGAGAUCUCUAAGGUUCAGGGCAUGGUGUGUGAGUUGCGGGCAGGGUUUUCUCGUGCACUGCUGGAGCUGAAUCAGAUUCAGCAGGGAGACACUGAGCUGCAGAGCCAGCUGGAGGACACAAGACAUGGCUGCAACAAGCGCUCCCUUCACCUAGAGAGUCUGGUGCUGUCCCUCAAGGUGAGAUCAGACACCUGUCUUGUAAAAUCUGUUCUAUGGGUGCUUCAAAAUCCUCAA
RNAcentral lists this long non-coding RNA (435 nucleotides) under Sinocyclocheilus anshuiensis. RNAcentral describes it as "lncRNA (ENSSANG00000003000.1)". Lineage: Eukaryota; Metazoa; Chordata; Actinopteri; Cypriniformes; Cyprinidae. The record is from RNAcentral.